RNAcentral lists this small nuclear RNA (18 nucleotides) under Arabidopsis thaliana (thale cress). RNAcentral describes it as "snRNA_15904". Lineage: Eukaryota; Viridiplantae; Streptophyta; Magnoliopsida; Brassicales; Brassicaceae. The record is from RNAcentral.
UUUUCAAAACAAGAAUAU